RNAcentral lists this ribosomal RNA (477 nucleotides) under Stenotrophomonas sp. VG4-A1. RNAcentral's name for it is "bacterial SSU rRNA". It matches the Rfam family "Bacterial small subunit ribosomal RNA", at positions 60 to 526 of the family's 1533-position model. Lineage: Bacteria; Pseudomonadati; Pseudomonadota; Gammaproteobacteria; Lysobacterales; Lysobacteraceae. The record is from RNAcentral.
AGUCGAACGGCAGCACAGAGGAGCUUGCUCCUUGGGUGGCGAGUGGCGGACGGGUGAGGAAUACAUCGGAAUCUACUUUUUCGUGGGGGAUAACGUAGGGAAACUUACGCUAAUACCGCAUACGACCUACGGGUGAAAGCAGGGGACCUUCGGGCCUUGCGCGAUUGAAUGAGCCGAUGUCGGAUUAGCUAGUUGGCGGGGUAAAGGCCCACCAAGGCGACGAUCCGUAGCUGGUCUGAGAGGAUGAUCAGCCACACUGGAACUGAGACACGGUCCAGACUCCUACGGGAGGCAGCAGUGGGGAAUAUUGGACAAUGGGCGCAAGCCUGAUCCAGCCAUACCGCGUGGGUGAAGAAGGCCUUCGGGUUGUAAAGCCCUUUUGUUGGGAAAGAAAUCCAGCCGGCUAAUACCUGGUUGGGAUGACGGUACCCAAAGAAUAAGCACCGGCUAACUUCGUGCCAGCAGCCGCGGUAAUAC